Molecule: ribosomal RNA, 406 nt
Filed under: uncultured bacterium
Lineage: Bacteria
Description: partial 16S ribosomal RNA
Rfam family: Bacterial small subunit ribosomal RNA
Source: RNAcentral
AUUGAACGCUGGCGGCAGGCCUAACACAUGCAAGUCGAGCGAGCGGCGGACGGGUGAGUAAUGUCUGGGAAACUGCCUGAUGGAGGGGGAUAACUACUGGAAACGGUAGCUAAUACCGCAUACCAUCAGAUGUGCCCAGAUGGGAUUAGAUAGUAGGUGGGGUAACGGCUCACCUAGGCGACGAUCCCUAGCUGGUCUGCGAGGAGGACCAGCCACAGUGGACAGGAGAAACGGUCCAGGCUCCUACGGGAGGCAGCAGUGGGGAAUAUUGCACAAUGGGCGAAAGCCUAAUGCAGCCAUGCCGCGUGUGUGAAGAAGGCCUUCGGGUUGUAAAGCACUUUCAGCGGGGAGGCGUUACCCGCAGAAGAAGCACCGGCUAACUCCGUGCCAGCCGCCGCGGUAAUAC